This 370-nucleotide unclassified non-coding RNA is filed under the name Hevea brasiliensis (rubber tree). The record is from RNAcentral. Lineage: Eukaryota; Viridiplantae; Streptophyta; Magnoliopsida; Malpighiales; Euphorbiaceae.
UCCAUGGCAUCAAUUUAAUAUAUUUAGAAUAAAUAAUAAUUUUACUCAAAUUAAAGGAAAGCCCAUUGGAUGCACCGACAACAAGCAUGGAGGGAGGGGAAAAAAAUAAAUAAAAAAGACAAAGAAAUUAAGAGGAUAAUGAAACAUGGAAGUCACGAAUUUUGUGUCUUAGUCUCAUUUUCUGUCAUUUUCUUUCCUCCCAAACAAAGUUUAAAACACAAUUUUUUUUUUAACAAAAAUAAAAGAAGAAAGAAUCAGAUACAGUGAUAGGUGGUUUGGAAAUUAAAUAAAGGGUGGUGUAAGAACUUAUAGCUUACAUUUUUAAAUCUCUUUCCUUUCUUCUACAUCUGCCUAUCAAGCCAUUGGCUCA